CAUUGUUUAGUAUUUAUUAUCCAAUUAUUCCAAUUUUCAUACCCACCUUUUUUUUCACACCGGUGAUUUAUAGUAUUAAACGUUUCCAGGGUCUAGCCAGUCAUAUUAAUUUCCUUUGCACACAUCAUAGGGGAUGGAUUCUCAUACUGUAUAUCAAUCACUACUUCUCUGUGUGUUCUCUAUCUUGCAGAAAAUUGAAAUUACUGUAUCUAUCACUUUCCCCAUGCCAAAUGUCAUUAUUUUAGUUCACAUACCCAUAAUGUCUCUUCUUUGACUCAUAAAAGCCAUGGUAAUGUAACUUUCAGUUUCUUCUCAUUUCAGUUAAAACUUGCUUUCACCAUCAGGGUUUUCUACUGGUUCUUUCUCCUGAAGUCACAUUUCCAAGUCACAUUUACACAGCUCAAGCUUCCAGUUAUUCUUCUUCCUAGAGUGGACUCAUUUCCAUUUGUCUCUGCAGUGAGUACUUCCAGAACUAUAUAAAAUAUAGGGGUAGAGGCAGCAGCAUCAAGAGCCCUGUGGACAUUCUUUGUUCCAGGAAUCCAUUCCUGACUUUUUCUUGCAGGGGUCCU
RNAcentral lists this long non-coding RNA (569 nucleotides) under Homo sapiens (human). RNAcentral's name for it is "non-protein coding lnc-MYO6-2:1". Lineage: Eukaryota; Metazoa; Chordata; Mammalia; Primates; Hominidae. The record is from RNAcentral.